This 75-nucleotide transfer RNA is filed under the name Candidatus Nealsonbacteria bacterium RIFOXYB1_FULL_40_15. RNAcentral's name for it is "tRNA-Pro". It matches the Rfam family "tRNA". Rfam says of the family: Transfer RNA (tRNA) molecules are approximately 80 nucleotides in length. Their secondary structure includes four short double-helical elements and three loops (D, anti-codon, and T loops). Further hydrogen bonds mediate the characteristic L-shaped molecular structure. tRNAs have two regions of fundamental functional importance: the anti-codon, which is responsible for specific mRNA codon recognition, and the 3' end, to which the tRNAs corresponding amino acid is attached (by aminoacyl-tRNA synthetases). tRNAs cope with the degeneracy of the genetic code in two manners: having more than one tRNA (with a specific anti-codon) for a particular amino acid; and 'wobble' base-pairing, i.e. permitting non-standard base-pairing at the 3rd anti-codon position. The record is from RNAcentral. Lineage: Bacteria; Candidatus Nealsoniibacteriota. RNAcentral also lists the same sequence under 2 other names.
CGGGGUAUAGUGUAACGGCUAGCACGAGUCCUUUGGGAGGAUUUAGUCUCGGUUCGAAUCCGAGUACCCCGACAA